GACGAACGCUGGCGGCGUGCUUAACACAUGCAAGUCGAACGCUGAAGCACCAGCUUGCUGGUGUGGAUGAGUGGCGAACGGGUGAGUAAUACGUGAGUAACCUGCCCUUGACUCUGGGAUAAGCCCGGGAAACUGGGUCUAAUACUGGAUGCUACAUGUCACCGCAUGGUGGUGUGUGGAAAGUGUUUCCUGUUCUUGGAUGGGCUCACGGCCUAUCAGCUUUUUGGUGAGGUAAUGGCUCACCAAGGCGACGACGGGUAGCCGGCCUGAGAGGGUGACCGGCCACAAUGGGACUGAGAAACGGCCCAGAAUCCCACGGGAGGCAGCAGUGGGGAAUAUUGCAAAAUGGGCGAAAGCCUGAUGCAGCGGAGCCGCGUGAGGGAUGACGGCCUUCGGGUUGUAAACCUCUUUCAGCAGGGAAGAAGCCACAAGUGACGGUAACUGCAGAAGAAGCGCCGGCUAACUACGUG
This 470-nucleotide ribosomal RNA is filed under the name uncultured bacterium. RNAcentral describes it as "partial 16S ribosomal RNA". It matches the Rfam family "Bacterial small subunit ribosomal RNA", at positions 28 to 507 of the family's 1533-position model. The record is from RNAcentral.